This 2111-nucleotide ribosomal RNA is filed under the name Salmonella enterica subsp. enterica serovar Telelkebir. RNAcentral's name for it is "partial 23S ribosomal RNA". It matches the Rfam family "Bacterial large subunit ribosomal RNA", at positions 711 to 2802 of the family's 2925-position model. Lineage: Bacteria; Pseudomonadati; Pseudomonadota; Gammaproteobacteria; Enterobacterales; Enterobacteriaceae. The record is from RNAcentral.
AGACCCGAAACCCGGUGAUCUAGCCAUGGGCAGGUUGAAGGUUGGGUAACACUAACUGGAGGACCGAACCGACUAAUGUUGAAAAAUUAGCGGAUGACCUGUGGCUGGGGGUGAAAGGCCAAUCAAACCGGGAGAUAGCUGGUUCUCCCCGAAAGCUAUUUAGGUAGCGCCUCGUGAAUUCAUCUCCGGGGGUAGAGCACUGUUUCGGCUAGGGGGCCAUCCCGGCUUACCAACCCGAUGCAAACUGCGAAUACCGGAGAAUGUUAUCACGGGAGACACACGGCGGGUGCUAACGUCCGUCGUGAAGAGGGAAACAACCCAGACCGCCAGCUAAGGUCCCAAAGUCAUGGUUAAGUGGGAAACGAUGUGGGAAGGCCCAGACAGCCAGGAUGUUGGCUUAGAAGCAGCCAUCAUUUAAAGAAAGCGUAAUAGCUCACUGGUCGAGUCGGCCUGCGCGGAAGAUGUAACGGGGCUAAACCAUGCACCGAAGCUGCGGCAGCGACACUCAGGUGUUGUUGGGUAGGGGAGCGUUCUGUAAGCCUGCGAAGGUGGCCUGUGAGGGUUGCUGGAGGUAUCAGAAGUGCGAAUGCUGACAUAAGUAACGAUAAAGCGGGUGAAAAGCCCGCUCGCCGGAAGACCAAGGGUUCCUGUCCAACGUUAAUCGGGGCAGGGUGAGUCGACCCCUAAGGCGAGGCCGAAAGGCGUAGUCGAUGGGAAACGGGUUAAUAUUCCCGUACUUGGUGUUACUGCGAAGGGGGGACGGAGAAGGCUAUGUUGGCCGGGCGACGGUUGUCCCGGUUUAAGCGUGUAGGUGUGUGUUCCAGGUAAAUCCGGUUCACUUUAACACUGAGGCGUGAUGACGAGGCACUACGGUGCUGAAGCAACAAAUGCCCUGCUUCCAGGAAAAGCCUCUAAGCAUCAGGUAACAUCAAAUCGUACCCCAAACCGACACAGGUGGUCAGGUAGAGAAUACCAAGGCGCUUGAGAGAACUCGGGUGAAGGAACUAGGCAAAAUGGUGCCGUAACUUCGGGAGAAGGCACGCUGACAUGUAGGUGAAGUGAUUUACUCAUGGAGCUGAAGUCAGUCGAAGAUACCAGCUGGCUGCAACUGUUUAUUAAAAACACAGCACUGUGCAAACACGAAAGUGGACGUAUACGGUGUGACGCCUGCCCGGUGCCGGAAGGUUAAUUGAUGGGGUCAGCGCAAGCGAAGCUCCUGAUCGAAGCCCCGGUAAACGGCGGCCGUAACUAUAACGGUCCUAAGGUAGCGAAAUUCCUUGUCGGGUAAGUUCCGACCUGCACGAAUGGCGUAAUGAUGGCCAGGCUGUCUCCACCCGAGACUCAGUGAAAUUGAACUCGCUGUGAAGAUGCAGUGUACCCGCGGCAAGACGGAAAGACCCCGUGAACCUUUACUAUAGCUUGACACUGAACAUUGAGCCUUGAUGUGUAGGAUAGGUGGGAGGCUUUGAAGUGUGGACGCCAGUCUGCAUGGAGCCGGCCUUGAAAUACCACCCUUUAAUGUUUGAUGUUCUAACGUGGACCCGUGAUCCGGGUUGCGGACAGUGUCUGGUGGGUAGUUUGACUGGGGCGGUCUCCUCCUAAAGAGUAACGGAGGAGCACGAAGGUUGGCUAAUCCUGGUCGGACAUCAGGAGGUUAGUGCAAUGGCAUAAGCCAGCUUGACUGCGAGCGUGACGGCGCGAGCAGGUGCGAAAGCAGGUCAUAGUGAUCCGGUGGUUCUGAAUGGAAGGGCCAUCGCUCAACGGAUAAAAGGUACUCCGGGGAUAACAGGCUGAUACCGCCCAAGAGUUCAUAUCGACGGCGGUGUUUGGCACCUCGAUGUCGGCUCAUCACAUCCUGGGGCUGAAGUAGGUCCCAAGGGUAUGGCUGUUCGCCAUUUAAAGUGGUACGCGAGCUGGGUUUAGAACGUCGUGAGACAGUUCGGUCCCUAUCUGCCGUGGGCGCUGGAGAACUGAGGGGGGCUGCUCCUAGUACGAGAGGACCGGAGUGGACGCAUCACUGGUGUUCGGGUUGUCAUGCCAAUGGCACUGCCCGGUAGCUAAAUGCGGAAGAGAUAAGUGCUGAAAGCAUCUAAGCACGAAACUUGCCCCGA